Molecule: ribosomal RNA, 280 nt
Filed under: uncultured Staphylococcus sp.
Lineage: Bacteria; Bacillati; Bacillota; Bacilli; Caryophanales; Staphylococcaceae
Description: partial 16S ribosomal RNA
Rfam family: Bacterial small subunit ribosomal RNA
Source: RNAcentral
CCUUUGACGUUAGCGGCGGACGGGUGAGUAACACGUGGGUAACCUACCUAUAAGACUGGGAUAACUUCGGGAAACCGGAGCUAAUACCGGAUAAUAUUUCGAACCGCAUGGUUCGAUAGUGAAAGGUUGUUUUGCUAUCACUUAUAGAUGGACCCGCGCCGUAUUAGCUAGUUGGUAAGGUAACGGCUUACCAAGGCGACGAUACGUAGCCGACCUGAGAGGGUGAUCGGCCACACUGGAACUGAGACACGGUCCCAGACUCCUACGGGAGGCAGCAGCA